This 74-nucleotide transfer RNA is filed under the name Flavobacteriales bacterium. Its description in RNAcentral is "tRNA-Ile". It matches the Rfam family "tRNA". From Rfam's summary of the family: Transfer RNA (tRNA) molecules are approximately 80 nucleotides in length. Their secondary structure includes four short double-helical elements and three loops (D, anti-codon, and T loops). Lineage: Bacteria; Pseudomonadati; Bacteroidota; Flavobacteriia; Flavobacteriales. The record is from RNAcentral.
GGGCCUAUAACUCAGCUGGUUAGAGUAGCUGACUCAUAAUCAGCAAGUCCUUGGUUCGAGCCCAAGUGGGCCCA